This 253-nucleotide ribosomal RNA is filed under the name uncultured Oscillospiraceae bacterium. RNAcentral describes it as "partial 16S ribosomal RNA". It matches the Rfam family "Bacterial small subunit ribosomal RNA", at positions 524 to 776 of the family's 1533-position model. The record is from RNAcentral. Lineage: Bacteria; Bacillati; Bacillota; Clostridia; Eubacteriales; Oscillospiraceae.
UACGCAGGUGGCAAGCGUUGUCCGGAUUUACUGGGUGUAAAGGGCGUGUAGGCGGAGAUGCAAGUCAGAUGUGAAAUCUCGGGGCUCAACCCUGAAACUGCAUUUGAAACUGUAUCCCUUGAGUAUCGGAGAGGCAGGAGGAAUUCCUAGUGUAGCGGUGAAAUGCGUAGAUAUUAGGAGGAACACCAGUGGCGAAGGCGGCCUGCUGGACGAAAACUGACGCUGAGGCGCGAAAGCGUGGGGAGCAAACAGG